CCACAACGGCCAGAGUGGUUCAAACACAAAGAGUUGGAGGUGGUUUGAACCCUAUAUAUGGACAUAGAGCAGCAGGCAAUGGGAGGACAGGCGGCCUUGACACGACCGUGGGUUUGUUGGAAUCCCUGAUUGAGGAUGGCAGGAGAAAACAUCAGGAACAGAAGUAUCUGAUUGUGCUGAGGGAGUUGCAGGCAGCAGAUGUGGAGCAGCAAGAGCUGAGCCGGGCACAGCGAGAGCAGCAUUUACAGAUGACCGUCGAUGAUGCAACCUGAGCAAGGGAGCUGGAAGCAGUCUUGAGGAGGAGAGUUCUGUGACUACAGCCUUAAAUCAAGCCCUCCUUAGUACGCUGAGCCAGCUUGUGCAGGCACUGAGUAGCCGCUUCCUUCCCCCUUAUGCCUUAAGUAUAUUGCUUGUACCUUGCACUCAUUUGUAUUUACAUUACAUUUAACAUCAUAUAACAUUUGACUUGUGUAUGUAGUUUUCUGUGUUACACUGAGUUGUUUGCAUAUAAUUUGCUUUAAUUGCGUUUGUUAAAUAAACCAAUAAACUUGUUACACAUUUUCAUUAUGGUUUCCUAUUUCAAGGACUUUAGCAUUUAAUUUACCAAAUAGUAAACCCUGAUAACUUUUAAAAAACAGUUCAGCAAAAUUGUGGAAUGAUGGAAUGAAAAAUAUAUUUAUGUUUAAUACAGUAAAGACAAAAUUAAUAACAGGCUCUGCUGCUGUUGCAGGUGCAUCCCACCCUUUGUCAUAGUCCUCUCCAUGACGCUUGGGAAGGUUAUGCAGAGCACAGCAAUGCAGCACCCUAGAUUUGACAUCACAGUCAUUUCUCUUCACGAGGAGGCGCUGCCUUCCCUUCUGUCUACCAAAAGCAACUUCAACCACUAACUGUGCUCUGCUGAUUUUCUGCUGUUCUGCUGACAGCCGUGAAUUGUCAGGAAUUGGUUUUAAGAGCUAUUUCUGAAUGGGAUAGUCAAAGAGUAGCCAAUAUUCAUCACCCCCCACCACUGGCCCCCCACCCCCCAAAACACAGUACCCCCUAAGACUUGUAAACAAACUCAGAGAAUUAGAGGCUGGCAAAGUACAAGCAGCAGAUUAUUCAGGAACCCUGAGUAUCAGUGUGAGUGUUGGCAUAAGCAGAAUGCACGAGAGCCCAGAUGUGUAAAAUGGAUCAUGGACAUGAGCCAUUAGAUGGAAACAUGCCACUAGAAAAAAGCUUCCGUACCUGCUUCAACUACAGCAAAGGUCAUUGUUAUUGUUAUUUCUUUCUUCUAUUGUGAUGUGAACUGAGAGUCUGCAGGCUCAGCUAGACAAGGACACUAACCGUGCUUUAAGAGCACUGAAGAAAGAAGUCAUUGAAACAUUUUCAUAGUCUAUGUGCUUGUUGAGCAACUUUUACCGGAAUGAAUUAUAGCUUUCAAAAAUAUCUCAUGGUCCUCCUGAGUGGAUGGAGUAGUCUACAUGGUGGGAAAACUUGGCUCCUGUUCCCUCUUUCAAGAUGGUCUUUUUCCUUGAAUGUGAAUGACUGCCUUGAUCUUUUUCUGGCUGUCCACUCACUCCUGGCUGCUGAUGUUGACUCCCUCCUAGUUAAAGCUGUGACCGGGUUCGGUCUUGUGUUCACAGACAGUGGAUGUUGAAACAUUGAAAAUGUAUGUUGGACUUCCGGUGGCUCGACAAUCAGCAUGGCAGCAUAGAAAGGAGCUCUUGCAUCGGAAGUAAUUCAAAUUCCUCACUUGGUGGAAGUGACUUAUGAUAAGCUAGAUGGAAGUAGAAAUUCGAAAAGGCGCCAAUACAAGUGAAACCUGCAAGGGUUGAAAAUGGCGACAAGACGGAGGACGGGCCCUCACCAAUUAUACUCAGCUCCCUCCAAAAAGUUGUGAGUGAGGUGAUAGAUGAAGGCAUGUGGGACCUAAACCCAGAAAUGAAAAAUGAAUUGUUGCAGAUCUGACUCAGUUUUUGAGAAGAUAUUAAAGUGCAAUUGGAUGAUCUAACAUCCGGGAAUCAAUCGGCAAGUCAGACUGGAAACCCAGUCUACUUUUGGAGAGAUUUGCGAAAAUAUUUGAUCCAUUUCUUUAUUACCCCCAAUCAGAAAUCCUAAUGAAGUGGGUUUCAGUAUUCUCUCUGGAGGGAGUGUGGAUUGGUUUCAGUGGACCGCAUACACCUUUCUGUAACUUCAAAAUAUUUUGAAAGGUAACGCAAGGUAAAAGCGUAAAAGUGACACAUACCUUUUGAAGAUUUUUAUGGCUGCAAGUAAAAAAAUAGUUACAAAGUGCUGGCAACAUAGGGACCCUCCUGUCAUUGCCCUCCUUAAUCAACAUAAUCAACUCUAUUAGCUCAGUGGAAAAAAAUACUCUGCUAUGAUUACUACUAAACACACCUACGAUCAGGCCUUUCUGUCCCGCCCACCACCGCUGCUUGCGCUAGGUUGACAGGUGAAAGAGCAGAAAGUAUCAAGAUGGUUAUCCACACAUUUCAGCCUCAGUCAGACCGAGACUGAUGUAUCAGUCUGUUAUUAGUUAUAAGAUUUAUCAGAACAUUUAUCAUAGUUAUGUGUUAAUGUUGUUUGUUAACUUGUAACUGGUAGUGGCUGAGACAGUUGGCUGUGCUAAGGCAAACUCUUGCUCUCAAGUUUUGGUGACAGGUGAAAGAGCAGUGCGUAUCAGGAUCGUUAGCAUUAGAGGAAUCAUUGGAGAGACUCAGCCAUAUGUUUGAGUCUCAGUCAGACCCAGAUUCACAUGAGGAGUCUGUUGUGACCAAAACUGGUGACUAGCAGACGAAUCAGAACAUUAGCUUGCAACUGGCAGCGGCUGACACAGUGUUAAUGGUUAUGCUAAAGCAAACUCUUGCUUUCUGUACUGACGAGGUUUCAGGUUUGUUUUGCCCGUCCCUGCAAGUUGACAGGAUUGUUUCCUUACGUUAUAUGACAUGUGAAUCCCUGGCUGUCUGAUUACGUUUUUAUGAGAUUUUCAUUGAUUCACUGUAGUUCCAAGGUGGUAAUAUGCAGUCAUGGUGUCAACUGCUUAUUUCACUCAUGAUAUGUUUUAUAUAAAAAACACACAAUAUGGACAUGAUAACAAGGUUAAAAACUUUUUUAUUUUGAUCAGAAACUAUUCUAUCUUUAACUAUUGCACUUUCUCUGUCUGAACCUUUCUAUAUGCACAAUGCACUGUACCUGCUCUGUUAUUUCUUUUUUGUCGAUUAUGCGGUAAUGUCCCAGAUCUCAUCUGUUCUGUUUGAAUACUAAAAUUAAAAAAAAAUGAAAGCAUUAAAAAAAGAAAGAAAAUGUCUUCACCCGCCAAUUUUACUCAAAGGUCAUCAAGAACUGAAACAGGUCACUUUGAUAGAACUUUAAUAUCGCAAGUCCUGUUCAGUCAUAAAAAUGUGUUUUCAUCUGCCAAUUUCAAAGAGAUUUAAUAGUACGGCAAAUUAUUAACAGCCUCGUACUCCCACACAAGUGUUUUCAAUUACUGUAGUAAUGCAGGCAUGUACACACUAUGUUUUUAUUGAUUUACAUUAUUUACCUCUACAUUAUUUCUUCAAUUAAAAUAAAUUGUAAAUAUAUAGUACUGUGCUUGAAAUCACUAUAUUAAUCAUAAGGGCCUAUUCAGAAGAAGAAAAAACAUACUGAUUUGGAUGAGGUCAUAGCUCAUGUGCAUCAGGAAGUACAAUGCAAUGCAUACCGUUGCACCACCUCACUAACCUGUGUAUGUGGCAUUCCCUGUGCUCCGGCAGCGUCUCUGGUGUGGUGAGGUUUAUAAAGUGAAGUGAUUUGCUUCCUGAUAAAAUAUUUUUUAUUUUUUUUACAGUUGUUUUCCUCAAGUCAAUUUGUGACUUUAAUCUCAAUAUUACCCCCUCUCCGGCUCCAUAAUUUUCUCUUUUACCUACAAUGGCUGAAAUACACCGGCAUAGUAAAUUCAGUCAAUCUCAAAAAAGAAAAAGAAAAAAGAAGUAAUAAUCUAUGAAUAGGCUUAAAAGACAAAGGAAGGUGUUUAUCUUCAUAAAUGUCAGUAUUCUUGUAAAUGCUCUGGCAAGCAGGUGACUGAAGACAGAAGAAAGGCUGUUUUAACUGUGUACUUUGGCACUUUACUUGCUACUCAGUUCAGUGGGUUGUCUUCAUUCUGGCUGCUGCUGUAAAUGUUUGGACAUCUCUUCUGUUCAUCAUUCUCAUCCACAUGUCUUGUGCACUUUGACCAAAGCAGGAAUUAUGACAUUAUGAACAGGCGUAUAACCUUGUUUAACCCAGUUCCUCUUCUCAUGCAGUUGUACGACCUCUCUAAACUUUGGUACAGUCACGUGUGAAACUAUGUUGUCCACAAUGUUUAAGUCAAUGAUUCAUGUUCAUAUGAUUUUAAAUAAACCACAUGUGAUGAAUCUCA
Molecule: long non-coding RNA, 4375 nt
Organism: Seriola aureovittata
Lineage: Eukaryota; Metazoa; Chordata; Actinopteri; Carangiformes; Carangidae
Exons: 2
Source: RefSeq, a predicted model, not a curated record